CCUACGGGGGGCAGCAGUGGGGGAUAUUGCACAAUGGGGGGAACCCUGAUGCAGCGACGCCGCGUGGGUGAAGAAGCGCCUCGGCGCGUAAAGCCCUGUCAGCAGGGAAGAAAAUGACGGUACCUGAAGAAGAAGCCCCGGUCAACUACGUGCCAGCAGCCGCGGGAAUACGUAGGGGGCAAGCGUUAUCCGGAUUUAAUGGGUGUAAAGGGGGCGCAGACGGCGAUGCAAGCAAGGAGUGAAAGCCCGGGGCCCAACCCCGGGACUGCUCUUGGAACUGGGUGGCUGGAGUGCAGGAGGGGCAGGCGGAAUUCCUGGUGUAGCGGUGAAAUGCGGAGAUAUCAGGAGGAACACCGGUGGCGAAGGCGGCCUGCUGGACUGCAACUGACGUUGAGGCCCGAAAGCGUGGGGAGCAAACAGGAUUAGAUACCCCUGUAGUC
This 440-nucleotide ribosomal RNA is filed under the name uncultured bacterium. Its description in RNAcentral is "partial 16S ribosomal RNA". It matches the Rfam family "Bacterial small subunit ribosomal RNA", at positions 338 to 795 of the family's 1533-position model. The record is from RNAcentral.